This 641-nucleotide long non-coding RNA is filed under the name Cyanistes caeruleus (blue tit). RNAcentral describes it as "lncRNA (ENSCCEG00000004039.1)". The record is from RNAcentral. Lineage: Eukaryota; Metazoa; Chordata; Aves; Passeriformes; Paridae.
GGACAAUCCUCAUCCCUCAGGGUGAUGUGAGCCUCACAAAUGUGAGCCCUGGAGCUGUCUGUGUGCACAGCCUCUCCCUGUUUGCCUCUCCCAGCUCUUCCCAAAGCCUAUCCAAGGGCUGCUCUCCUGUUCUCAGGCCGUAAUUCUGAGUGUUGAAUUAUCCUGCACAGAUGUUUGCUGCUGUUUCAGCCUCUGCCUGCAGAAGGAAGCUUAACUGCCUCUUACAUUUAUUCCCAAGGAAAAAUGGCUGAAGAGUUUUGAAGCCCCUUUCAGCCAGGUUUAACCAGCUUCACAAUGUUUCCCUCAAAAACCUGAUGUGGGUCAUCUCUGAGGAGCUCAAGGAGUUGUUUGGAGCUUUUCCAUUCCCUGCAGCCCUCUCAGCUCCCAGCCCUGCUGGGCCAAUUCCCCACAUCCCAAAGGCUUACAGAGCUGUGGCUUCACUGUUGCAGGACAAACUCCUGGGCACUGGAGCUGAAGGAGGGGGAAAAGAGAGAUCUGAGCAUCACCAGGAGCUGUACACGGCAGCAAAGCUGGAAGUGGCAAAGCCCACAGUGCUGCUGCUCUUUGGGAGUGGGUGGUGCUGCUGAUGGAGUUGGAUUCAAAUUCCACAUCUGCAUCUUCUGCUCACACAGGUAAAGCUG